RNAcentral lists this ribosomal RNA (388 nucleotides) under uncultured microorganism. RNAcentral describes it as "bacterial SSU rRNA". It matches the Rfam family "Archaeal small subunit ribosomal RNA", at positions 330 to 720 of the family's 1478-position model. The record is from RNAcentral.
GUGCACCAGGCGCGAAAACUUCACAAUGUGCGAAAGCACGAUGAGGGAAUCCCAAGUGCUUGCACGUAAGUGUAAGCUGUUUCUCUGUCUAAAACGCAGAGAGAGUAAGGGCUGGGUAAGACGGGUGCCAGCCGCCGCGGUAAUACCUGCAGCUCGAGUGGUGACCGUUAUUAUUGGGCCUAAAACGUCCGUAGCCGGUUUAAUAAAUGCCUGGGUAAAUCGGACCGCUUAACGGUUCGAAUUCCGGGUAGACUGUUAAACUUGAGACCGGGAGAAGUUAGAGGUACUCCUGGGGUAGAGGUGAAAUUCUGUAAUCCUAGGGGACCACCAGUGGCGAAGGCGUCUAACUAGAACGGGUCUGACGGUGAGGGACGAAGCCCUGGGGCGC